UUUAUCUAAACCACAUUUGCUUGUGAGAAUGUCAUGUGGGACUGUGUCAAAAGACUUACUAAAAUAAGGAUAUAUCACGUCUACUACUC
Molecule: long non-coding RNA, 89 nt
Organism: Chelonia mydas (Green sea turtle)
Lineage: Eukaryota; Metazoa; Chordata; Testudines; Cheloniidae
Exons: 3
Source: RefSeq, a predicted model, not a curated record